UACGUAGGGGGCAAGCGUUGUCCGGAUUUAUUGGGCGUAAAGAGCGUGUAGGCGGCUAGGUAGGUCCGUUGUGAAAACUCGAGGCUCAACCUCGAGACGCCGGUGGAAACCAUCUAGCUAGAGUCCGGAAGAGGAGAGUGGAAUUCCUGGUGUAGCGGUGAAAUGCGCAGAUAUCAGGAGGAACACCAGUGGCGAAGGCGGUGCUCUGGGCCGGAACUGACGCUGAGGAGCGAAAGCGUGGGGAGCAAACAGG
RNAcentral lists this ribosomal RNA (253 nucleotides) under uncultured bacterium. RNAcentral's name for it is "partial 16S ribosomal RNA". It matches the Rfam family "Bacterial small subunit ribosomal RNA", at positions 524 to 776 of the family's 1533-position model. The record is from RNAcentral.